RNAcentral lists this non-coding RNA (28 nucleotides) under Mus musculus (house mouse). Lineage: Eukaryota; Metazoa; Chordata; Mammalia; Rodentia; Muridae. The record is from RNAcentral.
ACAGCCUUGGACAUUUGAUUUAUUUAGC